UAGGGAAUCUUCGGCAAUGGGGGCAACCCUGACCGAGCAACGCCGCGUGAGUGAAGAAGGUUUUCGGAUCGUAAAGCUCUGUUGUAAGAGAAGAACGUGUGGGAGAGUGGAAAGUUCACACAGUGACGGUAACUUACCAGAAAGGGACGGCUAACUACGUGCCAGCAGCCGCGGUAAUACGUAGGUCCCGAGCGUUGUCCGGAUUUAUUGGGCGUAAAGCGAGCGCAGGCGGUUUAAUAAGUCUGAAGUUAAAGGCAGUGGCUUAACCAUUGUUCGCUUUGGAAACUGUUAAACUUGAGUGCAGAAGGGGAGAGUGGAAUUCCAUGUGUGGCGGUGAAAUGCGUAGAUAUAUGGAGGAACACCGGUGGCGAAAGCGGCUCUCUGGUCUGUAACUGACGCUGAGGCUCGAAAGCGUGGGGGGCAAACAGG
Molecule: ribosomal RNA, 429 nt
Filed under: bacterium
Lineage: Bacteria
Description: partial 16S ribosomal RNA
Rfam family: Bacterial small subunit ribosomal RNA
Source: RNAcentral